RNAcentral lists this small RNA (134 nucleotides) under Klebsiella sp. RIT712. RNAcentral describes it as "Raoultella sp. RIT712 RtT sRNA". It matches the Rfam family "RtT RNA". From Rfam's summary of the family: This family represents a bacterial cis-regulatory element known as RtT RNA. The record is from RNAcentral. RNAcentral also lists the same sequence under 1 other name. Lineage: Bacteria; Pseudomonadati; Pseudomonadota; Gammaproteobacteria; Enterobacterales; Enterobacteriaceae.
UGCAUCUGUAGCCGACAAGGAUGAGAACCUCCGGGGGCAAGAGGUUCGACCCGAGCGCAGCGAGGGAACGUUGCUUCAGCAACGGCCCGUAGGGUGAGCCACAAACGUGGCGAAUCAUCCUCUAUCACCGACCA